UCAAAAAGUUGUUUAUAA
Molecule: non-coding RNA, 18 nt
Filed under: Mus musculus (house mouse)
Lineage: Eukaryota; Metazoa; Chordata; Mammalia; Rodentia; Muridae
Source: RNAcentral